UGAGGGUGUCAGAUGUCACUCUCCUUAGCAAGGGGUUAGCCCUGUGAUCCUCGCCGUGCAGCUGCCGUAUGGACGACACCACGUUCUCCUCCUCGUCGCCGACCCAAGGAACCGCUUCCAGGUAGUCUAAACAUGAUGUGAUGCAUGCACGGAAGCCUAGUGAUUCUGCGACCUAUAGAGAGAACAAAACGUAAAAAAAAAAUGCAUACGUUAAAAACGAAAAGGAAGUUAAAUUUGCUUUGCAAUGUCCAGCUGAUCGUUCGUAAAUAAUUUGCAAAAAAAUAAAAAAAAAACAAAUAUUUUCAGACAGUCAUGCUCUAGAUCAGAUUCAGAGAAAUGAGACUGGGCAGCCUACCUAAUUUGUGACAGACCAACUAUGCAUCAACAAAAUUUCAAGAUGAUUUCAGAUAAGUUGUAGAAUAUGCAUAUUUUGUCACAGUCUGUUGCAGGGUGAGCGUACCAUAGUAAUGUGAGAAAAUAUGAACAGUAGCCCCAAAAUGCGAUAGCAUGAAAUAGACAUAGAAACAUAUUCAGCUGGAUCUAAUCAGGACCACAAUUUUGCAAGAUUGUAGUUCCAGUAAACAAUGUGUGAGUCAGUAAAGUUUCAGUUAGCAUACAGGGCAUUAAAAUUUGUGGUUUCAAAUCACUAAAAGACCCUAAAUUUGGUGAUAUGCAAGUUUAAGCUUAGUAAUUGUUUUGAACCACCACAGUUCACGCAUGCUUCAAAUGUUCAGCAUUUGUCAAUAAUACAGAUUAGAAUAUGCAUACACACAAAUGUAUAUAGCAUGCGAAGACAUUGGCAACAAGAAAAAAAACAAACAAAAAAUAUCAAAUUAGUAAACUGCGGUAGGAGAAACCUUCAAGAUUCGCAGAACUCGUGGAACAUUUUGCUUGAUAAGCCUCUGCUUGACAUCCUUGCAGUACAUCAACCCAACAGUCUCGACAUAAAUCUCCACAUCCUCACAAUCUGGCACCUCAAUGCAUGACACCGGAGACUGCCUCGAGAUUCUAUCGGCAAAAAAGGUACUAUUUUCAGCAAGAAUGCUCUUGUGAACAAUCAUCUUCACAGCUACCCCUUCCAUGCCAUGCAGCACAACCUUCAGAUCACUUGUGCCGAGCUGCCCAAACCCGACCGAGAUCUUAUGCUGCUUUGGCCGUUUCUCAGGUGCCGGUGCAGGUACUACCUUUGGCGGAUCAGGGGCAGCAACAGCAUUUGCUGGAGGGCACACUUGCUCAUCUGAAUGGGUUCUGGACCUAGU
This 1259-nucleotide long non-coding RNA is filed under the name Zea mays. RNAcentral describes it as "long non-coding RNA (ZMAY_LNC001390)". The record is from RNAcentral. Lineage: Eukaryota; Viridiplantae; Streptophyta; Magnoliopsida; Poales; Poaceae.